Molecule: non-coding RNA, 9378 nt
Organism: Penaeus vannamei (Pacific white shrimp)
Lineage: Eukaryota; Metazoa; Arthropoda; Malacostraca; Decapoda; Penaeidae
Source: RefSeq, a predicted model, not a curated record
AUGGCGAGUGUACGCCUGGACAACCCUGGCGGCGGUGGCGGUGGCGGCGGCGGCGGUGGCGGAGUGGGGGGAGGGGGACCAGCUGACCCCCUGGAGGACCCCGUGCUGGUGUCCUACGCCCGCAUGAUGGCCGCCGACGUGCUGUGCGUAUGGCGGAGGACCUGGCGCGUGCCCCAGGAGCCCAUGCCCACCACACAGCACCAGGCGCAGCAGCAGCACCAGCACCGCCACUCCCUCAGGCACUCGCCCAAGGAGCUCUGGGUCUUCUGGUACGGCGACGAUCCCGACCUCACCAACCUGCUGGCGCCCGAGCUGCUCAAGAGCGGUGGUAAAGGGCAUUCGCGGAUCUGGGACUGGGAGAACGGUUUGUCCUAUGAGUGCCGAACACUUCUUUUUAAGGCUCUACAUAACCUUAUUGAAAGGUAAGGUUAUGUCUGCGAACGGGACUUCGUCCGGCUGGGUCGUUUGGUUUGUCCAACCCUACGAAGGCCCGGAGGGUGUUCCUGGCAACAGGAGUUUUAAACCUUCGCCUUUGCUUUCCAGUACUCACCUGUCAUUCAGUCUGUCAUUCUCGUCCAUGGCGAAAGCAUUGUAUGUGCCAGUGUGGACGUUCGGCAACACCCCGUGUCCGACGGCUCACGCGGCGACACUGCUUUUAGCACAGCAGUCAAAUCAUGGCAUACCAGUUAUAUUGGGCCCAUAUGGGUUGAGUGGCACCUUGACUGGUGUGAGUUAUCGGCUGUCUGAGCCUUCAACACAGAAGCUGUUGGAUGAGUGGAGACAAUUCUUUCCUAUUGAAACAAAGGCAUCACAGGGAGACUCCCCAGAACCCACAAUGCCUGCCGCCGUUGAGGUUAUCGUGGGUGGCCACAAAAUGCGUUAUCCAACUUGUUACACAUUAGUGACAGACAUGGAUGACUACUUAAUGGCAAGUCGUGGUGGGACAGUUGUGAAUACCAACACUGUUUCUCCUGGAGCUAUGAAAGGUGGGCUUACAAAUGAUAACACCCCAGAGGGUAGUGACGGGACGAGCCUUCCCUCACACAAUUCCCCCUUCACUGCCUCGAUCCACACCUUACUAGCCCCUGGGUACUUGAGCUCUGGGGGACGAGGCCUCGGUUGGUCACGGGAGAUGUGUGAGCGUGUCUGGCAGGACAUAGUCCAGUGUCCAGGCCAGCAGCCCCCGGCACAGAAUGAUGGACUGACACCAGAGGGGACAUUGACCCCUGCUGAAAUUGCUGGCCAGUGGGACUUCUCAGACCCUGCAACGAAGAUCAGCUGCUCCUGCGCCAAACUGGGUGGAGCUGCAACACCUAGUGGAGGCAAUGGAGCUGGGAGUUUCGGAGGAUACAAGAGUGGUGGUGUGACAACCCCAGGUAGUGUUCCCAGUCUUCGGCUGACUGGAGUUGCAGAUGGUCCUCCUCCAUCAGUAGAAUCUCCAGCCUCUGCCAUUCCAUCUCCACUCCCAACACCUCAGCCAGCCUCUGUGCCUCAUCAUGAUCCCACCAUGCCAACUUUGAGUCCCCAUCCACCCCCAUCCAAUACAUCAGUGGGUGAUCCAACUACCCCUGCUGCUCUCGAUUCCUUGGAUGUGAAACCAAAUAUUGCUGAUUUGAUGGGCCCCAAGUCCAUAUCAUCUCUCAACAAUCAGGGCAUGUCUCCUUAUCCUGGAAGUGAGAGAGGCAAUGGUGUGGAGUCAAAUGAGACCAGCAGUAGCCUGGGGGGCGGUGGAAGCAAUAGCAGCAGUUUGCCAAGGGGACUAAAGCGGCCAUCCCUACCAGGCACAGACUACCAUUCUAUACUAGAAUUGGAAAAACCUAGUACCGUCCUCUAUGACUACUCCAAAUUAAAUGCAUGGUUGCAUCAUCCAGUGAAGAAAUUUAAACCAGCUGAACCAAAGGCAGAGGAACCUCUAUGGCCACCAUAUAGACCUGCACAUAUCCAAGAACACAUGGAAGUCAUCCAUCGUGCAGAACCAAGCCAAGAGAUUCCUGAAGUGAAUGGGUUACCAGCAAAACGUCCUGGUGGCAUAAAGAGACAGGCUGACCCAUAUGACUUCGAUGAUGACAUAGGCACAGGCACCACCCCAGAAACAUUCAAACGGAAAGAUGGCUUUGACAAGGAGGAGACCAAGACCCUGGGAGUGUCCGUUCCUCCCAUGAUCCAGUCCCCGCUGCAACCAAAGAGAACUGGAAAUCUUUAUACAAGUGAAGGGCUUCAAGCCUCGCUUUCAGAUUUGGACGUCAUGUUUGAUUCUGAUUCUCCAGUGGAUGAUGUGAGGCCCGAGGAUACAGCUGCAGUUUUGAACAACAAGAACAAUGCUAGUGGUAACAAAACCAGUGUUAACACUAGCUUAGUGGAGUUGACAAAAAUGUUUCCAACACCUCCCUCCCAUGAGCAUAACCCAGACCAUGACACCACCAUGGAGGAUGCUGUGCCACAGGUCAUCAGCAUCAAACAGGAGCGAGUGGAUGAUCUUAGACCACUUCAUUCACAGGAGCAGGCAAACCUGCCUGCUAGAGACGAACCGAAAGAAAUGUUGGCUGUUUAUCGGCCUCCUACUCUUUCAAUGUUUGUUGGCUCCCGCAAGUAUGCUCCACUAACCAACUUACCAAGUCAGGAGUAUAAACAGUUGUGACACUUCCUCCUGAUUGGGCUUACAAACCUUCAUGGCAGUUCCCAGUUGCUGAGAAGCCCCACGGACCAGCUCCUACAUUGGGCCACAUGGGUCCACUCCAUGGAGGUCCUCCAUCAACUGGACAAACACAGAAGGUGGGCUUGUCUCCCAUCUCACCCAUGACUUCAAGUUUGGGUGGGCCAGUAUCGGACAGUGGCCCAGGGUCUCAGCGUGGGCCAGGCAGUGUGGGAGGCCCAGCUUCUGCAGGACCACCCAUGAAUUAUGAGCUACCAUCCCCUGCAUCCAACCAGUCAUCUUACCUCAACAAGACACUGCCAUCAGUAGAGCCACCAAGCAUGGGCUUAGCCAAGUACCUGAAGCAAAUUCCCUUAUUGUUAACAUCGCUCUGCAGGACUCGAGCGUCAACUUGUUCAGAGAUCACAACUUUGAUUCGUGCACAAUGUGUGUCUGCAAUAACAACCAGAAAAUUGUUGGAAAUAUCCGUGGAAAGGAUGGAGCUCUAUAUUUACCACCUACCCAUCUUAGUUUAGAAGAAGAAAGUGCAAGUUGCAGUUGUGGUUUCUCUGCAGUAGUUAAUAGAAGGGUUGGCCUUUCAGGCUGGAUUAUUUUAUGAAGAUGAAGUGGAUCUUACUGGCCUCCAUGAGGCUUUGGUCAAUGAGCGUAAAAAGCAGUCUUUACUCAUGCUGAUGGACAAUAAGAAUGCAGACAAUCCUGAACGUGAUACCAGUAUUCUAGAUCAGAUACCUCAGUCUAUGUACCAGCUGUUACAAAGCCAGUGCUUAGUAACUUUAAGUACUCCCUCUAGUGUCAUUUAUAGAUCAACAACAGUGUACCAAAAUAAUAGACGAGACAUUAUGCUGAACUUAGUGGAUUAUAAAGAUGGUAAUGAGAUUGCAAGCUUGGCUGUAGAACAGUCACGAGGUGUUAAUGUGGGUGAAGGUGAAGUGAACUCCCCUUCAGCAAGACAUCAGUGCAUGCAUAAGUGGUGCUACUACCAGUUCGAUGGUCCCACAUGUUCUAGGGACAUAGUGCGUUGUAUGAAGGCCCUCCAGCCUCACCUACAAGAGGCCAUACAAAAGAAGGGAAGAUGGGUGAACUUAUUCAGUGUUGAAGGGCCCCUCACGUGGAGGCAGUUCCACCGCAAGGCUGUUAGAGGCAAUGAGGAUAUUGCUGAACCAUUGCCUAUUCCUAUGUUAUUGACAGGCCAUGACCGAGACUGGUUGUCCAUAGCACCACAAUCCCUUAGACACUGGGAAAAAUUACUUCUUGAACCUUACUCACAGCAGAGGAAUGUGGCAUAUGUUGUGGUUGCUCCUGAUAAUGAAUUUAUACUCAAUCAUGUGCGCACAUUCUUCAAGGAGUUGUCAUCUAUAUAUGAGUUGUGCAAGCUUGGUCGUCAUGCCCCCAUACAACGAGUCCUGAGAAAUGGCAUAAUGAGGAUAAGCAAAACUGCAGCAUCCAAAGUAGCCAAUGAGCCAUUAGAGGAGUGGUUCUCCCUCUUGGGUGACUCCCAUGUGUCCACCAACCUCAAAGUUUACGCACAGGUUUGUCGGUACUGGUUGGCCCCACACCUAGCAAUGCUUAGUAUGGACAAGACUCUGUUUGAAGCACCAGGACCCAACAGACCUGCAGAGAGGCAAGCUCCAUCACCAAUGCCUCCUCCCUCAUCAGAGAACAUGGGGAACACCAACCCCUCACAACACCCACGUCAAACUCGGAGCCGGAGUCCUUCUCCUCCUCUUCCUCCUCAUCAUCUUCGUCUUCUUCAUCAUCAUCUUCCUCCUCCACAUCCACCUCAUCAUCUUCUGCAACUUCUACCUCUGGCACACAGCCAGGUAACAUCCCGCUGGGUGCAAGUCUAAAUGAAGUAGAGGAAGACGACUCCCCUCCUCCAGCCAUUCUUGUCUACUUGGUGGACCCCUUCAAUGUUGGGCAAGACCACCCUGACAUGCACCGCUUGGUUACCUUAGGGUUGCUCCGCUGCUACGAACACAUGCUGGAGGGAUUGACUGAGAGCAUGCAGAAUAAUGUGUAUCUCCAGAUUGUCUCAUUGGAGAGUAUACUGGAGUUGGCCAGUGACUCACAUGACCGGUCCCACACACAUAGACCAGCUCAAGAGUCUGGCCUUCUCUGUGUUCAUGCAGUGCAGAAGAACUUUGACUCAUAAUGCAACAGUCAAGUCCCUAACAGGUUUUGGACCUGCUGCUGCAUAUGAUGAUUUCCUCAAGCCUAAGGAAGCUAGUCUUGCAGCAGAGGAAAAGAGGCAAGCUCCUUACCACAUAUUCUCCCCUGCAUACAUUGUUGCCCCCAUCAAAGAGAGUCGUGGUACAUAUAAGGAGGCACAGGAGGCUCUUGGAGCUCCACGUGAAAAGUCAACCAUCUUGAACUGCACCUACUGCCUGUCUGAAGAUCAGAGAUGGCUCUUAGCAACAGCCACUGAUGAAUUAGGGGAAAUUUUAGAGACUGUAACAAUCAAUAUUGAAAUUCCAAAUAGGACGAGAAGAAAGAAAGCUUCUGCUCGUCGUUAUGGCUUGAAGAAGUUGAUGGAUUGGAUACUUAGUGUGAUGUCUAUUGGUGUACAUCCCUGGCGCCUAGUCGUAGGUAGGCUUGGUAGAAUGGGCCACGGAGAAUUGAAAGGCUGGUCUUCCCUCCUGUCAAAGAAGUCUCUCAUCCAGGCUAAUAAGAAUCUGAGAGAAAUGUGUAAGCAGUGUGCAUAUCUGUUCCCUGGAGAUGCCCCAUGCAUACUAUCUGCAUGUCUGGUUGCUAUUGAGCCAGACUCAUCGUUUAGAAUGAUGCCAGAUAUGUUUACACCAGAUGAGAGAUUUGGACAGAAUAGCCAGAACUGUAGCCUGUCAACUCCACAAGAUCUCACUUGUACACAUAUUCUGGUCUUCCCAACUUCUGCUACUGCUCAGUCAGCACAGCAGAGAUUCCAGGAGGAGACCACUUUCCACUUUGAGGGUAAUGGGUUGUUAUUAGAUGAUGAAGAUCUAGAGAACGAUAUAGGUGGUAGUAUAAGUGACAUUGGCAUGAGCAUGGGACUCAACAUCCAGGAUAUCCUUGGACUAGACACCGGGCCUAACCAGGAUGACCAGUUAGAAGAUGGAGGUGGACAAAGAGACUCCCUAUCCCAGCCUGGUAGUCCCACGGCUGGAGUCGGUGGUCGAACCAGUCCCUCACAGUUUUCUGGUCAAGCGCGUAGCAAUGGUAUAGUCCUGGUUGACCCUGAAGAGGAUUCUGGUGGUUCAGUGUUACAACAGCCCUUGGCUCUUGGUUACUAUGUCUCCACUGCAUCCACGGGUCGGCUGCCGAGAUGGUUCUGGUCGUCCUGCCCUCACCUUGAAACAUCCUGCCCAGUGUUCCUUAAGUCAGCCCUCCAUCUUCACUCACCUGGAAUUACACAGUCUGAAGAUUUGAUCAUGAACACUACAAAUAACAAGGUCCACCCAUUGGAUUCUUCUAUCACCACUGAUGUCCUUAGAUUUGUCCUGGAAGGGUACAAUGGCCUCUCAUGGCUAGUCCUGGAUCCUGCCAAACAAGACAGAAGAUCUUGCCUGCCAUUACACAUGCAAGUUCUGUCUCAUCUGUACAAUGUGAUGGCAGCCCUUGUGUAACUACUGCUCUUCUGCAAACACCAAAUAAAAAUGAAAAGAUAAAAAAUAUAUAGACAGAAGCUUGGUAUAAUAGACCUGCCCUGGUGCAAUUAAUGGGCAUUGUCUGAAACAACUUAAUGAUAUUGUAAUUAAUUGCCCUUUGACAAAAAUUCUGCUUGACUGUUAGAUGUAGUAGUAGUUCUUAUUUGUUUAAAGAUUCUAAAUGACCAAAAAAUACUAGAAUCUCUAAAGACAAAUAUCCUUUGUGCAGUAUUUCUUGCCCAGGGCAAUAUGUCAUUGAGUUCCAAGCUUAGUGAAUUUCGUAGUGUAAAGACUGAAACAUCAUUGAAGAAAGGUUGAGGCUGUUGUAUUCGGCCUGUGUACACUAACCAAAGCAUAUUUUACUCAAGCGAUAAGGAAGUAGAAAGUAAUAAUCAGUGCCUGGGUGGACAUAGAGGUCAAGGUGGGACUUGUUACUGCCUGGCCUGCCAAAACAGAAAAGCUGUGAAUAUUACCAGAUACCUAAAUGACCAAAGUGUUUGGGAAACAGGGCUGUAUGUCUAAGAGAUGCAUAAUGAUUCCUAAUGCUCAAAGAAAGGUCUUACCUCACACAACUAGCAUUAUCUCAAAGAUGACUGUAAAUACUUAACUUAUUAUGGCCAUAAGUCCACCACAAUGCAAUCAAAACAGUCCUGCCUUAUGAUAACAUGGACAACCAUAGAGAAAUUAAUGGGUGGAUAAACUUUGAGGAGCACAAGAAAGGCAUCAUGGUGUAAAGAAAUGCUCAUUUCACAAUGAUUGUAAAAUGGAAUCACAAGUGUGAGUUAACGGCCAGAAUAAAUACAUAUGGGCCACUGGUAUCGUGGGCUGGGCGCCGUAAACCAGUGCAUUGUUAGUGACUAGUAUCCAAGCAGGAUUGUCUGUGAUAAUGAGUAACAGAUUGAAUGUACUUCGUAAUUGGAUAUUUAUGCCUUUUAUUAUUAACACUUGUUUCAGCACAGGUUGGUGCUGUUAAUUUCAAUAAUGUAAAUAGGCAGUGGUGUUGUACAAGCUGGGUGGGUUUGGCCUCUUCCACGCCCUGACUUGCUGUUUCCCAGAGGCUCUCAGAGUAGUAGUGUACAGUAAUGUUGAUUGUACACCUGUGUACAUGUUGCCUCAUGCACCUGAAGCCAAAUUGUAUAUAAAUAGUGUGUCAGGUGACUCCUAGAUUUGGGGGUAAAGGCUCGGCAACAGCAUCUCAGUGGCUUUCGGGGCCCCCUCCCUCUCCCCUCCCCGCCCCUCCCCCCACUGCUCUCAUGUACAGACUCUAGGUUAUGUGUACAGUGAGACACAAGUUUUACACCUCGUGACUGUUUAUACAAGUUAAGUAUUUUCCCCCUGAUGCAGCCACCUCCAAUCUUCAUGCAAAUGGAGGGGGUUGUGGUGUAAAAUAUUUCUGGCAGUAAAUUCUAUUGUUUAUUUUGAGACUAACUAUAAAAAACAUAAAAAUCAAGUAGCAUCUAAGGGUAGAUAGUUUAAAGAAAGUAUUUUACAAAUGGAACAUUUGUACAAGGAGUGUAUUUUAAAAAAUGGUUAAUAACCAAAAGGGAAGAUGGCAGAAACCUUCCAACGGCAAGUAUCGGCUUCUCUCGUCCCUGGGCCUCAGAGUCUGGCAGUCAGGCAGCUAUCUCUUCCCAGAGCCCUCGGCCAUUGCUGUCUUUGCUGUCCGCCUCGCCGUAAACAUGUUGUACUGAACCCCGCCAGAAUGUCUUGGUACUGCAGUUCUCAUAUUUUGUCUCUCGCAGCAUGACAAAACUUUGCGAGGAGUCCAUCAGUUGAAGCAUUGCAGUGACUUUGGAACAUUAGAGGAAUGCAACAUAUUUUUGCGAUGGUGAAGACACAAAUUCAUGCAGCCUACAAUAAUAUGGGAGUCAUGCCUAAGGGUGCCCAGGUGGGUCGAAAGGGAUUGAGAAUGAAGACAAACUUAAUGCACUUUUAUGCAUUCUUCUGAGGUUGGGACAGCCUUACGCCAGCCAGGGUGUGUGUGGAGCAAUCUAUUUAUGUGCGUCUCGUUAUUUCUGACCUGCCUACCUGUCGACCUGUCUACUAAAAAUGGAGUGUGUGGAGAUUUACAGUUGUGUUUACAUUUUUAAGGAGUAGGGUUUUUACAGUGAAAUUUUAUAUGUACUAUUUUAUUUGUGAACAACUUUUGACUCUAUGCAGUAUUUUAGACAAAAGAGUAUUUGCUUGUGUAUCAUCAGGUAAUGAAGUGACUCUGAUACAUGAAAGGCAAAGCUAACGUUGAUUCUCAGUCCAAUUAACAAAGAAAAUUCUAAUUAGUCAUUAUUUUUUACAAAUCUUCUUUUGUAUGGAAAUUACAAAUUGACUCUGCAAUAACCAAGUUGACUAGAUGCAAUCACAUUUUUAGUAUUUGAGAUAAGAUAUAUUGUAGACAGAUUACAGGUCUUAGGCUGCCAUGGGGCUAGUGGCAGCUUCCCUCCUCUUCUUGCUCAACAGCUCUUCUGGUUUUACUCCUCUCUCUCUUUGCUCAACAACUGUCUGUCUGUCUCAUAUUACCAUUUUUGUUUGAAGACUGACAAAUCAAAAGAAGUCCUUGAUAACAAGUAGUCUGAUAUUUUUACACAAAAUGUUACUUAGACUGUUCGUAUUAUAUUGAUUAUUAUUUUUGUUUAUUGUUUGUAAAUACAAUGGAAAUGCUUUUAUCAUUGGACGCCAGUCAGUUUUCUCUAGUUAAGUCAGUUCAAAUUUGUCAGUGCCCCAUUGCGUUACCUACUCUGCUACAGUGGCAUGUGACCCAAGCCACAUAGCGAUGAGAAAAAAAUGCCUUUAUUAUCUGUUGACUUUUUAAAUUCCGUUGUGCAUGAUUUUGUAGGUGAUUAACACAGCCUCCUUGAUAAUUGUCAGAUGUUUAAUGCUGCUGCACAACUGUUAUGUUUUUUAUUUUUUUUAUUUUUUUUAUUUUUAUUUUUUGGAUUAACUCCCUCCACUCUUUUUUUCCUGUGUAUUGUUAGUUGUGGGUAGCUGCUCUGGCCAGAGUGCUGUAUGAGUGGUGGUGCGAGAAUGACAAGAGUGAAAGUAAGGGGGAGUGAGCUCCAACUCACCCCGCUGUCAUUAUUAUCAUUGGUAUAAAAUACAAUUUUAUGUGUA